RNAcentral lists this transfer RNA (55 nucleotides) under Nematostella vectensis (starlet sea anemone). It matches the Rfam family "tRNA", at positions 10 to 63 of the family's 71-position model. Rfam says of the family: Transfer RNA (tRNA) molecules are approximately 80 nucleotides in length. Their secondary structure includes four short double-helical elements and three loops (D, anti-codon, and T loops). The record is from Rfam by way of RNAcentral. Lineage: Eukaryota; Metazoa; Cnidaria; Anthozoa; Actiniaria; Edwardsiidae.
CUGUAAUGGUUAGCACUCUGGACUUUUAAUCCAGCGACCCGAGUUCAAAUCUCGG